GAAAUUUUUUCAACACCAAAAUUUGUGUCUAAUCCUAAACACUAACUAAUGAUGCACACAGAAGGGGAAUUAUAGAGGGAAGAAGAAUUUACUCUGGUAAUGUGUUUGAUGGUGUUAAAAAUGAUGUUAAGACGAAACUAUUGUUGUAAACAGUGAUGGGUGCCAAG
Molecule: small RNA, 167 nt
Filed under: Drosophila willistoni
Lineage: Eukaryota; Metazoa; Arthropoda; Insecta; Diptera; Drosophilidae
Description: GK28000
Source: RNAcentral